This 377-nucleotide long non-coding RNA is filed under the name Lathyrus oleraceus (garden pea). RNAcentral describes it as "Pisum sativum (pea) long non-coding RNA (PSAT_LNC015633)". Lineage: Eukaryota; Viridiplantae; Streptophyta; Magnoliopsida; Fabales; Fabaceae. The record is from RNAcentral.
AAGGCGAGAGAAUAGGAUGGUUGUCGUGUUCGGCGGCAGCGGCGGUACAGAGUACGGUAGUCCUGUUGUGGCGGUAGACUUCAAGAAGGGAGAAGAAGCAUGCGACGGCGGACUGUAAUGGGGGAGAAGAAGAAACACGUUUCUGCGUUUGUUUUUUUUAAUUUUUUUUUAGAGAGAGGGAUAGGUUAGGAUUGAUACCAUAUAAGAUAAUGGAAAUCGUGUCCUUCUCAUUGAUCUGAAUAGAAUAUAUAUACAUCAAUGUGUAAUAUUUGGUCAACUAUCUAAUUAUGAUACAACGUAAUUAUAGGAAACUAAUUAUGACUAAUUAUAACAAAAUAUUGUAUUCUAUCAAUCAAUGUAGUUUUUGGUCUUGCAAG